UUUAUCAACAAGAGGAUUCAAGAGAGUUCUAGAGAGAAAGGAAGAGAAGAAACUUGAAGCUAGAGAAAGAAUAGGUUCGGCCAAGGGAAAAAAAAGGUAAGUCUCCGAUUUUGCUUCGUGAAUUAAUUAUCUAGGGUGUACCAAGGUGUUAUGAAGGUAUUGGUAACGUAAAUUUAUGGUUUGGAGCAGCCCAAAAACGUCACCGAACAGCCCCAAAGUUUUAGCCGCGCUAGGAGAGCUUCCGAGGCAAGUUUUGGAGAGUUUCGGGAAAGACUAACAAGUUGGAAGAAUAAGAAAAGCUAGUAAGGCGCGGUACAGGUACACCUAGACAAGUAGAAGCUAUUAUAGAAGAUGUUCCAGCGGAGUUAGCAACUCCACUUGUUCCUGGGGUGCUGCCGAGUCAGAUUAUAAACGCUAUGAUGUUUCAUUCGAAGUUAGAAACCUUGCAGACAGAGUCGUGGGUAUAGAGUGUCAGCUUUGUAAGCAGCGUCACCAGCCGAUAUGUUAUUAUGUAGUAUGUCACGAGUUUUAUGGGAUGAUAGAUUGGGAAAGCUUAGCUAUGUUUUUUUUAUUUCUUAUUGAUGUAAAAGUCUAAAUAGAUUAAGUAUGUACUAUGAGUUAGCGGGUUCGCUCGGCUCCGAGCAUGGGGUCGGGUGCCCAUCACACCCUCUUGAGAUCGGGGUGUGACAACCUUGUUAAUUAUUAUCGAUCUAACUUUUGAUCACGCUUUAGGCGUAGUUAAUGAAUUAAAAUAUAGGCAUAUGUUGUCAAACAAAUUAGCCUUUCUCGAUCUGUGAAAAUUUGCCCAAUAUAUUUAAAUCAGAUUUCUGACAUGCAAAGAUUUACACUGUAUAUGAGAAGAUUUUAUGUAAGAAAAGUAAAGCUAGCGCAAUAACUUAAAGGAUUCGCGCUUACUCACCGAGCUAACCAUUGAUAAUCAAAAGUAAAGUUGUCAAUACGGGCUGGCCCAGCACAUCCGAACUAGCCCAUACAUGCUUUGAAACUGUAUGAGUCAAGUCAGACUGACCCAUUAUUUUAACGAGCCAAAAAACACUUGGCCCAACUCACAACUAAGUGGGCUACGGAUCGAGCCGAGCCAGCCUACUUUUUUGAAAAGAUUAUAUUUUUUAUAAUUUAAAUUUAAAUUUUAAAAUGU
Long non-coding RNA from Solanum dulcamara, 1156 nucleotides. RefSeq lists it as uncharacterized. The transcript is spliced from 3 exons. NCBI's taxonomy places the organism in Eukaryota, Viridiplantae, Streptophyta, Magnoliopsida, Solanales, Solanaceae. The record is from RefSeq and is a predicted model, not a curated record.